Small nucleolar RNA from Ochotona princeps (American pika), 125 nucleotides. Its record names the gene SNORA74. It matches the Rfam family "Small nucleolar RNA SNORA74". From Rfam's summary of the family: U19 belongs to the H/ACA class of snoRNAs. snoRNAs bind a number of proteins (including dyskerin, Gar1p and Nop10p in the case of the H/ACA class) to form snoRNP complexes. This class are thought to guide the sites of modification of uridines to pseudouridines by forming direct base pairing interactions with substrate RNAs. Targets may include ribosomal and spliceosomal RNAs but the exact functions of many snoRNAs, including U19, are not confirmed. NCBI's taxonomy places the organism in Eukaryota, Metazoa, Chordata, Mammalia, Lagomorpha, Ochotonidae. The record is from Ensembl.
CCCAGGUGUAGGCAGCUGCCAAGGUUGCCUUGUACCUAGGCAGUUUUACACUGCUGGAAGAACAAGAGUGGCUAGCAGCUGGUGGGCAUUCUUGCCCUGGCUAAUGUGCUACUUGUGUUAACUAU